CCUCACACGGGGCUUGCACAGCUUGCACGGGGCUUGCACGCCUUGCACAACCUCACGCGGGGCUUGCACAGCUUGCAUGGGGCUUGCACACCUUGCACAACCUCACGCGGGGCUUGCACAGCUUGCACGGGGCUUGCACGCCUUGCACAGCUUGCACAACCUCACACGGGGCUCGCACAGCUUGCACGGGGCUUGCACACUUCACACGCCUCGCAUGGGGGUUGCACAGCCUUGCACGGCCUUGCACACUUUGCAGGAGGCCAGCACACCUUGCACGCCUUGCACAACCUCACAUGGGGCUCGCACACCUUGCACGGGGCUUGCACACUUCACACACCUCGCAUGAGGGUUGCACAGCCUUGCACGGCCUUGCACACUUUGCAGGAGGCCAGCACACCUUGCACGCCUUGCACAACCUCACACGGGGCUUGCACAGCUUGCACGGGGCUUGCACGCCUUGCACAACCUCACGCGGGGCUUGCACAGCUUGCACGGGGCUUGCACACCUUGCACGCCUUGCACAACCUCACACGGGGCUUGCACAGCUUGCAUGGGGCUCGCACGCCUUGCACACCUUGCACAACCUCACACGGGGCUUGCACACCUUGCACAACUUCAUGCGGGGCUCGCACAGCUUGCACGGGGCUUGCACACUUCACACGCCUUGCACAGGGGCUGCACAGCCUCACACGGCCUUGCACACUUUGCAUGGGGCUUGCGCAGGGCUCGCACGCCUUGCACACCUUGCACAACCUCAUGCGGGGCUCGCACAGCUUGCACGGGGCUUGCAUGCCUUGCACAACCUUGCACAGGGCAUGCACACUUCACACACCUCGCAUGGGGGUUGCACAGCCUUGCACAUUUUGCAGGAGGCCUGCACACCUUGCACAACCUCACAGGGGGCUUGCACACUUCGCAGGAGGCCUGCACACCUUGCACACCUUGCACAACCUCACGCGGGGCUCGCAUAGCUUGCACAGGGCUUGCACGCCUUGCACAACCUCACGCGGGGCUUCCACACCUUGCACGGGGUUUGCACGCCUCGCACAACCUUGCACGGGGCUUGCACACUUCACACGCCUCGCACGGGGGUUGCACAGCCUUGCACACUUUGCAGGAGGCCUGCACGCCUUGCACACCUUGCACAACCUCAUGCGGGGCUCGCACGGCUUGCACGGGGCUUGCACACCUUGCC
RNAcentral lists this long non-coding RNA (1195 nucleotides) under Anser brachyrhynchus (Pink-footed goose). RNAcentral's name for it is "lncRNA (ENSABRG00000015165.1)". Lineage: Eukaryota; Metazoa; Chordata; Aves; Anseriformes; Anatidae. The record is from RNAcentral.